RNAcentral lists this ribosomal RNA (251 nucleotides) under uncultured prokaryote. RNAcentral's name for it is "partial 16S rRNA". It matches the Rfam family "Bacterial small subunit ribosomal RNA", at positions 525 to 775 of the family's 1533-position model. The record is from RNAcentral.
ACGUAGGGUGCGAGCGUUAAUCGGAAUUACUGGGCGUAAAGCGUGCGCAGGCGGUUAUAAAACAGAUGUGGAAAAUCCCCGGUCCCAACCGGGGCAGCGUUUUUGAGACUGUAUGACUAGAGUGUGGCAGAGGGGGGUGGAAUUCCACGUGUAGCAGUGAAAUGCGUAGAGAUGUGGAGGAACACCGAUGGCGAAGGCAGCCCCCUGGGCCAAUACUGACGCUCAUGCACGAAAGCGUGGGGAGCAAACAG